AUGCUCGACACCUACGGGGGCAGCAGUGAGGAAUAUUGGUCAAUGGGCGCUAGCCUGAACCAGCCAAGUAGCGUGAAGGAUGAAGGCUCUAUGGGUCGUAAACUUCUUUUAUAUAAGAAUAAAGUGCAGUAUGUAUACUGUUUUGUAUGUAUUAUAUGAAUAAGGAUCGGCUAACUCCGUGCCAGCAGCCGCGGUAAUCUGAGCGGGCUGGCAAGGC
Molecule: ribosomal RNA, 217 nt
Filed under: uncultured bacterium
Lineage: Bacteria
Description: partial 16S ribosomal RNA
Rfam family: Bacterial small subunit ribosomal RNA
Source: RNAcentral